UACGUAGGGUGCAAGCGUUGUCCGGAAUUAUUGGGCGUAAAGAGCGUGUAGGCGGCCCGACCAGUCCGCUCUGAAAGCCCGGGGCUCAACCCCGGGAGGCGGGCGGAUACUGUCGGGCUAGAGUCCGGAAGAGGCGAGUGGAAUUCCUGGUGUAGCGGUGAAAUGCGCAGAUAUCAGGAAGAACACCAAUGGCGAAGGCAGCUCGCUGGGACGGUACUGACGCUGAGACGCGAAAGCGUGGGGAGCAAACAGG
This 253-nucleotide ribosomal RNA is filed under the name uncultured bacterium. RNAcentral describes it as "partial 16S ribosomal RNA". It matches the Rfam family "Bacterial small subunit ribosomal RNA", at positions 524 to 776 of the family's 1533-position model. The record is from RNAcentral.